Long non-coding RNA from Dicentrarchus labrax (European seabass), 1040 nucleotides. RefSeq lists it as uncharacterized. The transcript has 2 exons. NCBI's taxonomy places the organism in Eukaryota, Metazoa, Chordata, Actinopteri, Moronidae. The record is from RefSeq and is a predicted model, not a curated record.
UCAUUUGCUUUUACUUCAUAUUCAUCAAGUUUCACUCAUGGGUCUUCACUACACAUUCCUUUACAUCUCCCCAAUCAUUUCUGACUUUUGAAAACCCAGUUUUCCUGCAAAUGCCAUCCAUGAUAUUUUGUGAAGCAUUGUAAUAAUAACAUGACAAUAUCUGUAAUCAGGUUGUUUGCAGGUUUUCAAUGUGACUGAGAACAUGAGUCAGUCCUUCUGUUUUACAUGUGCCUGUAGAACGUGACUUCAUAUGGCCGUGUGAGUGUGUUUAUUUUAAUGUAAUCAGUGAGAUGUCCUCCCAUUCAGCUGAGGGGCAGCAGUGACUCAUGUGGGACAGAGUGUUCUAAAAGUGCCCAUGAACUUAUUUGUAUAAGCAAAUGUACUGUGAUGUUUAGAUGCAUGUGUAUUUAUAUGAGAGAACUGUCUGCCUUUCUACCUUUUUCCGAUUAUUAUUUCAUUUUAAUUCAAACUGCUGCCAUUGUCUUCUUGAUGGUUGUUUUCAGUCAGAGGAAGCAACCUCGACCUGGUCACAAUAUGACGCUGUCCAGAAAUGGUGCUAUUGGAGUGUCGCUGACCAAGCUGCAGUGUUUGACGUGUCGGGAGCGAGAACGUGUUGGUAUUCUCUGACACCAUUUUAUAUUCACACUGAGGCCACUUUAGCCAUUGCAUUGUUAUCUUACAUUAGGUAAGUUUACAAAGAUCAUCCUUUGAUUUUGAGACAUCUUGUUACUUCCUCACAGCAAGAAGGUGCUGGGGAUUUUCUAUGCGGAGAAGGUUAGGUUGAUUGUCGACUCUAAAUUUCCUGUAGGUGUGAAAGGUUUUCUGUCUUUAUGUUUCAGCCCUUUGAUUGACCGGCGACCUGUCCAAGGUGGUGGGUUCCAGCCCACUAUGCAAUCCUCAAGGGUUACUAUGGAGUAUGGAGUCUUGUAAAACAAACAUUAGCUUGCCUACAUUCUGUAAUUCUCACCAAUGCAUUGUGUUUGAGGUUUAACAAAUGUGUAAAGUGCACUUCCUUCAUCAUAAAAUGAUUUUUAUGUUUA